UCCCCUCGUCCUUCCAGAGCUGCCCGCCGGAUCCCCAAGAGGAAAGAUACCCGGUCGCAGCUAUCAAGUCGAGAGGAGUGUUCCGAGUGAGCGAGGGAAGUGAAAACAAAAGGUGAGUCGUUAUUAAUCUAUUCGGGCAAAAGGUGUAAUCAAAAUUACGUUCCUUACGCGCUCCUCAUUUGAAAACCCCGCGCGAAAGCGCGAGUCAAGAGUCCAUGCUCGGGCUCGCGCCUAACGUGAGAGCGUUGCAGUGCCUGGGUCCGGUGGUGGGGACAACGCCGAAUCGCGAGGACCGCUCGCACGCACAAUUAGUCUAAUUUCGAACAUCGUACCAGUGAGUCAGCGGCCAGGCCGAGUCCGACGAGCCAUCUGUUUGUGCGGCGAGCGUGUUCUUCGUUCCAACAGGGCGGUUCCACAUAACCAAAAAUAACGAGAGACAUUCGGACAUCACCACUGGCAUCGUCUUCGGGGCUGUGCAUGCAGGUAUCGGUUGCAGUACGUUAAAUAAGCUUCUAGCUUGUGCUGAUAUUCCUACCAUCACGGACAGCUUAUUCAAACGUUAUGAACGUGAAAUGGGACCGAUGAUAGAGGAAGCUGCUAAAGAGAGCUGUAAGCGAGCAGCUGCAGAAGAGCGAGAGCUCGUUUUAGAAAAAAUGGUUCAGUUAGCGCAGGAGUUGUAAGCUUUCUUUUUUUGAUAUCAUGAAACAAUCAUUUUGUUAAAAAAGUUCUAUCGUUAUAUCAUUUUCUUAAAAUUUUGCUGAAAAUUUCGAUACUUAUGGGUAAAACAUAAAAAUUCUCAAUAGUCGCUCAAAAGAGUGCUUGUUAAAAGUAGCAUUUUCAUCAAUAAAUAUUUUGACUUCUCCCCAGUGCCUUCUAAAACUUUGCAUACAUUUUUAUGAAAUAUUAAAGAAACAAGUUAUUUUUUCAAAAAAAUGUAAAGAAAAAUUUUUCCGCAAUUUUUGUAAUUAUACAGCAAGUAUUUACUAAAUUUUUUGAUUUAAAUGUCACGAUAGAACUACCUCAAACAAUUUACACGUUUAUUUGGUUUCAAA
RNA transcript from Venturia canescens, 1052 nucleotides. RefSeq lists it as uncharacterized. The transcript is spliced from 3 exons. The record is from RefSeq and is a predicted model, not a curated record. Lineage: Eukaryota; Metazoa; Arthropoda; Insecta; Hymenoptera; Ichneumonidae.